CGGUGGAGCAUGUGGUUUAAUUCGAUGAUACGCGAGGAACCUUACCUGGGCUCAAAUGUAUGUUGACGUAUUCUGAAAGGGAUACUUCUUCGGACAAUAUACAAGGUGCUGCAUGGUUGUCGUCAGCUCGUGCCGUGAGGUGUCGGGUUAAGUCCCAUAACGAGCGCAACCCCUAUCAUUAGUUGCCAUCAGGUCAAGCUGGGGACUCUAAUGAAACUGCCUACGCAAGUAGUGAGGAAGGUGGGGAUGACGUCAAAUCAGCACGGCCCUUACGUCCAGGGCUACACACGUGCUACAAUGGCCGGUACAAAGGGCAGCUACCUGGUGACAGGAUGCUAAUCUCAAAAGCCGGUCUCAGUUCGGAUCGGAGUCUGCAACCCGACUCCGCGAAGCUGGAAUCGCUAGUAAUCGCGCAUCAGCCAUGGCGCGGUGAAUACGUUCCCGGGCCUU
Molecule: ribosomal RNA, 450 nt
Filed under: uncultured Sphingobacteriales bacterium
Lineage: Bacteria; Pseudomonadati; Bacteroidota; Sphingobacteriia; Sphingobacteriales
Description: bacterial SSU rRNA
Rfam family: Bacterial small subunit ribosomal RNA
Source: RNAcentral